This 258-nucleotide ribosomal RNA is filed under the name uncultured bacterium. RNAcentral's name for it is "partial 16S ribosomal RNA". It matches the Rfam family "Bacterial small subunit ribosomal RNA", at positions 524 to 778 of the family's 1533-position model. The record is from RNAcentral.
UACGGGGGGGGGCAAGCGUUGUUCGGAAUUACUGGGCGUAAAGGGCUCGUAGGCGGCCAACUAAGUCAGACGUGAAAUCCCUCGGCUUAACCGGGGAACUGCGUCUGAUACUGGAUGGCUUGAGUUUGGGAGAGGGAUGCGGAAUUCCAGGUGUAGCGGUGAAAUGCGUAGAUAUCUGGAGGAACACCGGUGGCGAAGGCGGCAUCCUGGACCAACACUGACGCUGAGUGAGCGAAAGGCCAGGGGAGCAAAACGGGG